This 85-nucleotide transfer RNA is filed under the name Acidimicrobiia bacterium. RNAcentral describes it as "tRNA-Leu". It matches the Rfam family "tRNA". From Rfam's summary of the family: Transfer RNA (tRNA) molecules are approximately 80 nucleotides in length. Their secondary structure includes four short double-helical elements and three loops (D, anti-codon, and T loops). Lineage: Bacteria; Bacillati; Actinomycetota; Acidimicrobiia. The record is from RNAcentral.
GCCCGGGUGGCGGAACGGCAGACGCAGAGGGCUUAAACCCCUCGGCUCCUCAGGGAGCGUGUGGGUUCGACUCCCACCCCGGGCA